GUGGGGAAUUUUGGACAAUGGGCGAAAGCCUGAUCCAGCCAUGCCGCGUGCAGGAUGAAGGCCUUCGGGUUGUAAACUGCUUUUGUACGGAACGAAAAGACUCCUUCUAAUAAAGGGGGUCCAUGACGAUACCGUAAGAAUAAGCACCGGCUAACUACGUGCCAGCAGCCGCGGUAAUACGUAGGGUGCAAGCGUUAAUCGGAAUUACUGGGCGUAAAGCGUGCGCAGGCGGUUAUAUAAGACAGAUGUGAAAUCCCCGGGCUCAACCUGGGAACUGCAUUUGUGACUGUAUAGCUAGAGUACGGUAGAGGGGGAUGGAAUUCCGCGUGUAGCAGUGAAAUGCGUAGAUAUGCGGAGGAACACCGAUGGCGAAGGCAAUCCCCUGGACCUGUACUGACGCUCAUGCACGAAAGCGUGGGGAGCAAACAGGAUUAGAUACCCGGGUAGUCC
RNAcentral lists this ribosomal RNA (450 nucleotides) under uncultured bacterium. Its description in RNAcentral is "partial 16S ribosomal RNA". It matches the Rfam family "Bacterial small subunit ribosomal RNA", at positions 354 to 796 of the family's 1533-position model. The record is from RNAcentral.